CAGAGAUGGACAGACGACAUUAAUACUGAGGGGUCAGUGUGUGCGCAGGGGGCAGAUGACCAGAGGGGCCGCGUUUUUACCACCGUCAUUAAAACAAGGACUGAAGUACGGAUAGAGGGGCUCAGUGAAGGAGUCUGUGAAGGUGUAGAGGUGAGAGCGGGACUGGGCAUUGUAAAAGGAGACCUGACCUUCAUCAUAGUCCAGAAAGACCCCCACUGUCUGGGGCUUCACUCUCAGUGGGAGGGGGAGAGGACGGCCAAUG
This is a long non-coding RNA of Erpetoichthys calabaricus (reedfish), 262 nucleotides long. RefSeq lists it as uncharacterized. The transcript is spliced from 3 exons. NCBI's taxonomy places the organism in Eukaryota, Metazoa, Chordata, Cladistia, Polypteriformes, Polypteridae. The record is from RefSeq and is a predicted model, not a curated record.